RNAcentral lists this non-coding RNA (62 nucleotides) under Homo sapiens (human). Lineage: Eukaryota; Metazoa; Chordata; Mammalia; Primates; Hominidae. The record is from Rfam by way of RNAcentral.
AGCAGGACGGUGGCCACGGACAUCAGAAUCCACUAAGGACUGUGUAACAACUCACCUGCUGA